This 253-nucleotide ribosomal RNA is filed under the name uncultured bacterium. Its description in RNAcentral is "partial 16S ribosomal RNA". It matches the Rfam family "Bacterial small subunit ribosomal RNA", at positions 524 to 776 of the family's 1533-position model. The record is from RNAcentral.
UACGUAGGGUGCAAGCGUUUAUCGGAAUUACUGGGCGUAAAGCGUGCGCAGGCGGUUUUGUAAGUCUGUCGUGAAAGCCCCGGGCUCAACCUGGGAAUUGCGAUGGAGACUGCAAGGCUUGAAUCUGGCAGAGGGGGGUAGAAUUCCACGUGUAGCAGUGAAAUGCGUAGAGAUGUGGAGGAACACCGAUGGCGAAGGCAGCCCCCUGGGUCAAGAUUGACGCUCAUGCACGAAAGCGUGGGGAGCAAACAGG